UCGGUAAUUUAAAAAAAAUUAAAAAUCACUACAAUAAUAGAGAAAAUAACAAACGAACUUCUUUUUCGCGUCGGAUCACGGCGAAUCACACUUGACGUCACAGGCUGCAUUACGUCAUUUGAAAUUUUUUCAUAGUGCAGUAAACAUGGCGUUCUCUUGCACAAAGUAUAAAGAUUUGAAGGAAUUAUUGCAUGUGUUUCAUUAAUAUUCUGCUUUGGACAUGACUCUAACGAUGGCAAAUAUAAUGGUAGCAUACCGGUAAGUCAAAUUUCUGUAUUUUUCACAAAGCAUCAACAUAGAGGGG
RNAcentral lists this long non-coding RNA (304 nucleotides) under Mytilus galloprovincialis (Mediterranean mussel). The record is from RNAcentral. Lineage: Eukaryota; Metazoa; Mollusca; Bivalvia; Mytilida; Mytilidae.